AUACGUAGGUGGCAAGCGUUGUCCGGAUUUACUGGGCGUAAAGGGAGCGUAGGCGGAUACUUAAGUGGGAUGUGAAAUACCUGGGCUUAACUUGGGUGCUGCAUUCCAAACUGGGUGUCUAGAGUGUUGGAGAGGAAAGUGGAAUUCCUAGUGUAGCGGUGAAAUGCGUAGAGAUUAGGAAGAACACCAGUGGCGAAGGCGACUUUCUGGACAAUAACUGACGCUGAGGCUCGAAAGCGUGGGGAGCAAACGGGAUUAGAUACCCCGGUAGUCCUGGCCGUAAACGAUGGGUACUAGGUGUAGGAGGUAUCGACCCCUUCUGUGCCGGAGCUAACACAAUAAGUACCCCGCCUGGGGAGUACGGUCGCAAGAUUAAA
This 377-nucleotide ribosomal RNA is filed under the name uncultured bacterium. RNAcentral describes it as "bacterial SSU rRNA". It matches the Rfam family "Bacterial small subunit ribosomal RNA", at positions 523 to 898 of the family's 1533-position model. The record is from RNAcentral.